GUGCAGCAGUCGCGAAACCUCCGCAAUGCGGGAAACCGCGACGGGGGACCCCGAGUGCCGUGGCAACGCCACGGCUUUUCCGGAGUGUAAAAAGCUCCGGGAAUAAGGGCUGGGCAAGGCCGGUGGCAGCCGCCGCGGUAAUACCGGCGGCCCGAGUGGUGGCCGCUAUUAUUGGGCCUAAAGCGUCCGUAGCCGGGCCCGUAAGUCCCUGGCGAAAUCCCACGGCUCAACCGUGGGGCUUGCUGGGGAUACUGCGGGUCUUGGGACCGGGAGAGGCGGGGGGUACCCCUGGGGUAGGGGUGAAAUCCUAUAAUCCCAGGGGGACCGCCAGUGGCGAAGGCGCCCCGCUGGAACGGGUCCGACGGUGAGGGACGAAGGCCAGGGGAGCAAAAUCGGAUUAGAUACCCGUGUAGU
RNAcentral lists this ribosomal RNA (414 nucleotides) under uncultured microorganism. RNAcentral's name for it is "bacterial SSU rRNA". It matches the Rfam family "Archaeal small subunit ribosomal RNA", at positions 330 to 745 of the family's 1478-position model. The record is from RNAcentral.